GGAUCAUUAAUGAAUGAAAUUGAGUGGGGUUGUAGCUGGCCUUUCACCGGGCAUGUGCACACCUCAUUCAACCACCUUCUACACCUCUGUGCACUUCUCAUGAGUUGGGCCGCGUCUGAAACACGACAAAGUCCGGCUCAUGUGCUUUAUACAAACAAAUUAUGUUAUAGAAUGUCACUAUCAUGCUUUAAAGCAUAUAAUACAACUUUCAACAACGGAUCUCUUGGCUCUCGCAUCGAUGAAAAACGCAGCGAAAUGCGAUAAGUAAUGUGAAUUGCAAAAUUCAGUGAAUCAUCGAAUCUUUGAACGCACCUUGCGCUCCUUGGUAUUCCGAGGAGCAUGCUUGUUUGAGUGUCAUGGUCUUCUCAACCCUUCUGUCUUUGUCAUUGAAGGCAGCUGGGCUUGGACUUGGAGGUCUUGCAGGCGCCCGGAUUUUUUUAUUCGGAUGUCGGCUCCUCUGAAAUGCAUUACCUUGAAUAGAACCAAGCAUGAUUCAGCGUGAUAAUUGUCUACGUUGCUUCGUCUCGGUGAAUUUAAUGUUCAGGCUUCUAACCGUCCCCUGGGACAAUAUCUGAACAUCUGACCUCAAAUCAAGUAGGACUACCCGCUGAACUUAAGCAUAUCAAUAAGCGGAGGAAAAGAAACUAACAAGGAUUCCCCUAGUAACUGCGAGUGAAGCGGGAAAAGCUCAAAUUUAAAAUCUGGCAGCUUGGCUGUC
The sequence is a ribosomal RNA, 718 nucleotides long. The stretch from base 204 to 357 matches the Rfam family "5.8S ribosomal RNA".